GCGAGUGGCGAACGGGUGAGUAAUAUAUCGGAACGUGCCCUGGAGUGGGGGAUAACGCAGCGAAAGUUGCGCUAAUACCGCAUACGAUCUAAGGAUGAAAGCGGGGGAUUCGCAAGAACCUCGUGCUCCUGGAGCGGCCGAUAUCUGAUUAGCUAGUUGGUGGGGUAAAGGCCUACCAAGGCAUCGAUCAGUAGCUGGUCUGAGAGGACGACCAGCCACACUGGAACUGAGACACGGUCCAGACUCCUACGGGAGGCAGCAGUGGGGAAUUUUGGACAAUGGGCGAAAGCCUGAUCCAGCAAUGCCGCGUGAGUGAAGAAGGCCUUCGGGUUGUAAAGCUCUUUUGUCAGGGAAGAAACGGUGCGGGCUAAUAUCCUGCACUAAUGACGGUACCUGAAGAAUAAGCACCGGCUAACUACGUGCCAGCAGCCGCGGUAAUACGUAGGGUGCAAGCGUUAAUCGGAAUUACUGGGCGUAAAGCGUGCGCAGG
This 490-nucleotide ribosomal RNA is filed under the name uncultured Oxalobacteraceae bacterium. Its description in RNAcentral is "bacterial SSU rRNA". It matches the Rfam family "Bacterial small subunit ribosomal RNA", at positions 91 to 575 of the family's 1533-position model. The record is from RNAcentral. Lineage: Bacteria; Pseudomonadati; Pseudomonadota; Betaproteobacteria; Burkholderiales; Oxalobacteraceae.